UUAAAUGAAGGAAAACCUGAAGAGGCCCUUUGAGGCAGCAGCUCAGACGCUUCCUGGUUAGAUAUCAAAAGAAAUCAGGAAAAAUGUCAGGAACAGAAAAUUGUGUUUCCACAUAUCUGGUUCAUUGUUGGUUCAACUUCCUGGUGCACGAAGUUUCUCCUGUUCAAACAAGAUUAAUCAGCAAAGCAAUUGGAUGGCAAAUAUUAAAAAUAUGCCUCGUUUUUCUGUCAUUUAACAAAUAAAAUGUCAUUUUGUUGAUAAUAGACAGAAAACAGGGAACAUUUACACAGAUUUAGUGUCUUUUACAUGAGUACCUGCUUUUUACUGCAACACAAACAUGACAACCUGAAAUAACUCCAUUCCAUCAAAGUGAAGAUACUGACUGCUUGUAACAUCUCAACAAAACCCCACUUUAAAAUUACCCCAGUAGCUGGAAGUGGUAAUAUUUUGCUAGAAUUCAAAUUUAGACAGGACAGUUUUAAAUAUUAGACAGAAGCAGUUUAGUAAGGCGCCUCGUCUUACCAACCGCCAAUACUUAAAGCCACCAGGUGGCGCCAACAGCUUGUUUUGUUUUUGCAUUGUAAUACCAGACAGACGUGUUUCCAUAGCAACUACCUUUGUCCUGUUCUGUAGAGAAAACUGUUUACACACUGUAAAUAAAGAGAUCUCCAACAUGUUAAA
Molecule: long non-coding RNA, 681 nt
Organism: Poeciliopsis prolifica (blackstripe livebearer)
Lineage: Eukaryota; Metazoa; Chordata; Actinopteri; Cyprinodontiformes; Poeciliidae
Exons: 2
Source: RefSeq, a predicted model, not a curated record